Molecule: ribosomal RNA, 229 nt
Filed under: uncultured bacterium
Lineage: Bacteria
Description: partial 16S ribosomal RNA
Rfam family: Bacterial small subunit ribosomal RNA
Source: RNAcentral
CGCGUAGGCGGUUCGGUAAGUCUGACGUGAAAUCCCGGAGCUCAACUCCGGAACUGCGUUGGAUACUGCCGAGCUUGAGUGUGGGAGAGGAGAGUGGAAUUCCCAGUGUAGAGGUGAAAUUCGUAGAUAUUGGGAGGAACACCCGUGACGAAGGCGGCUCUCUGGACCACAACUGACGCUGAGGCGCGAAAGCUAGGGUAGCAAACAGGAUUAGAUACCCUGGUAGUCC